RNAcentral lists this ribosomal RNA (610 nucleotides) under uncultured bacterium. RNAcentral's name for it is "bacterial SSU rRNA". It matches the Rfam family "Bacterial small subunit ribosomal RNA", at positions 59 to 669 of the family's 1533-position model. The record is from RNAcentral.
CAGUCGAACGAAGCGAUUUAGCGGAAGUUUUCGGAUGGAAGCCAAAUCGACUGAGUGGCGGACGGGUGAGUAACGCGUGGGUAACCUGCCUCAUACAGGGGGAUAACAGUUAGAAAUGACUGCUAAUACCGCAUAAGCGCACGAGGAUGCAUGUUCUUGUGUGAAAAACUCCGGUGGUAUGGGAUGGACCCGCGUCUGAUUAGCUGGUUGGCGGGGUAAAGGCCCACCAAGGCGACGAUCAGUAGCCGGCCUGAGAGGGUGGACGGCCACAUUGGGACUGAGACACGGCCCAAACUCCUACGGGAGGCAGCAGUGGGGAAUAUUGCACAAUGGGGGAAACCCUGAUGCAGCGACGCCGCGUGAGUGAAGAAGUAAUUCGUUAUGUAAAGCUCUAUCAGCAGGGAAGAAAAUGACGGUACCUGAGUAAGAAGCCCCGGCUAACUACGUGCCAGCAGCCGCGGUAAUACGUAGGGGGCAAGCGUUAUCCGGAUUUACUGGGUGUAAAGGGAGCGUAGACGGCAGUGCAAGUCUGGAGUGAAAGGCGGGGGCUCAACCCCCGGACUGCUCUGGAAACUGUACGGCUGGAGUGCAGGAGAGGUAAGUGGAAUUC